AGAGUUUGAUCCUGGCUCAGGACGAACGCUGGCGGCGUGCCUAACACAUGCAAGUCGAGCGAUGAAGUUCCUUCGGGAACGGAUUAGCGGCGGACGGGUGAGUAACACGUGGGUAACCUGCCUCAAAGAGGGGGAUAGCCUCCCGAAAGGGAGAUUAAUACCGCAUAACAUUAUUUUCUCGCAUGAGAAGAUAAUCAAAGGAGCAAUCCGCUUUGAGAUGGACCCGCGGCGCAUUAGCUAGUUGGUGAGGUAACGGCUCACCAAGGCGACGAUGCGUAGCCGACCUGAGAGGGUGAUCGGCCACAUUGGAACUGAGACACGGUCCAGACUCCUACGGGAGGCAGCAGUGGGGAAUAUUGCGCAAUGGGGGAAACCCUGACGCAGCAACGCCGCGUGGGUGAUGAAGGUCUUCGGAUUGUAAAGCUCUGUCUUUGGGGACGAUAAUGACGGUACCCAAGGAGGAAGCCACGGCUAACUACGUGCCAGCAGCCGCGGUAAUACGUAGGUGGCAAGCGUUGUCCGGAUUUACUGGGCGUAAAGAGUAUGUAGGCGGAUAUUUAAGUCAGAUGUGAAAUUCCCGGGCUUAACCUGGGCGCUGCAUUUGAAACUGGGUAUCUAGAGUGCGGGAGAGGAAAGUGGAAUUCCUAGUGUAGCGGUGAAAUGCGUAGAGAUUAGGAAGAACACCAGUGGCGAAGGCGACUUUCUGGACCGUAACUGACGCUGAGAUACGAAAGCGUGGGGAGCAAACAGGAUUAGAUACCCUGGUAGUCCACGCCGUAGACGAUGAAUACUAGGUGUCGGGGGGUACCACCCU
This 814-nucleotide ribosomal RNA is filed under the name uncultured Clostridium sp. Its description in RNAcentral is "bacterial SSU rRNA". It matches the Rfam family "Bacterial small subunit ribosomal RNA", at positions 8 to 839 of the family's 1533-position model. Lineage: Bacteria; Bacillati; Bacillota; Clostridia; Eubacteriales; Clostridiaceae. The record is from RNAcentral.